Molecule: transfer RNA, 58 nt
Filed under: Camelus bactrianus (Bactrian camel)
Lineage: Eukaryota; Metazoa; Chordata; Mammalia; Artiodactyla; Camelidae
Also listed under: 2 other names
Rfam family: tRNA
About the family: Transfer RNA (tRNA) molecules are approximately 80 nucleotides in length. Their secondary structure includes four short double-helical elements and three loops (D, anti-codon, and T loops). Further hydrogen bonds mediate the characteristic L-shaped molecular structure. tRNAs have two regions of fundamental functional importance: the anti-codon, which is responsible for specific mRNA codon recognition, and the 3' end, to which the tRNAs corresponding amino acid is attached (by aminoacyl-tRNA synthetases). tRNAs cope with the degeneracy of the genetic code in two manners: having more than one tRNA (with a specific anti-codon) for a particular amino acid; and 'wobble' base-pairing, i.e. permitting non-standard base-pairing at the 3rd anti-codon position.
Source: Rfam by way of RNAcentral
UAGCUCAAGUGGUAGAGCGCGUGCUUAGCAUGCACGAGGUCCUGGGUUCAAUCUCCAG